This 479-nucleotide long non-coding RNA is filed under the name Capra hircus (goat). RNAcentral's name for it is "lncRNA (ENSCHIG00000007925.1)". The record is from RNAcentral. Lineage: Eukaryota; Metazoa; Chordata; Mammalia; Artiodactyla; Bovidae.
CACAGAUACUUGUGUCAUCCUUAUUUGUGCAGACUUUGUGACUUUUCCAGAGUUCAUCUGGUUGACAAAUGGAUGUAAAUGCCUUUUGGACUGAAGGAAGGCAUACAGAAGUCACGUACGAAUCUUGGCUGGGUGAUAAACAGAAGCCGACCUUCAGAGAAUUUCUGUGCAAAUCCAAGUGGAGGAGAAAGAAGACGAUACUGAGGAAAGUUCAAGCGAAGAGGAAGAGGAGGAACACAAACUACCCCGAAGAGAGAGCAUGAGGCCAAAGAGGAAACGGACCAGAGAUGUUAUCAAUGAAGAUGAUCCAGAGCCUGAACCAGAAGAUGAAGAAACAAGGAAGGCCAGAGAGAAAGAGAGAAGGAGGAGAUUAAAGAGAGGAGCGUGAGUUAGUUUUGAUCUAUAAUUGACAUUAUUUUUCAUUCAAAAGUGCCUGAUGCUGAAAGAUCACCCUAGCCUUAAAAUUGGUAAUUAAAACU